AGAGUUUGAUCCUGGCUCAGGACGAACGCUGGCGGCACGCCUAACACAUGCAAGUCGAACGGAGAUAAAGACUUCGGUUUUUAUCUUAGUGGCGGACGGGUGAGUAACACGUGAGCAACCUGCCUCUGAGAGAGGGAUAGCUUCUGGAAACGGAUGGUAAUACCUCAUAAUAUAGCGGUACCGCAUGAUACUGCUAUCAAAGAUUUAUCGCUCAGAGAUGGGCUCGCGUCUGAUUAGCUAGAUGGUGAGGUAACGGCUCACCAUGGCGACGAUCAGUAGCCGGACUGAGAGGUUGAACGGCCACAUUGGGACUGAGACACGGCCCAAACUCCUACGGGAGGCAGCAGUGGGGAAUAUUGCACAAUGGGCGCAAGCCUGAUGCAGCGACGCCGCGUGAGGGAUGGAGGCCUUCGGGUUGUAAAGCUCUGUCUUUGGGGACGAUAAUGAGUGUACCUUUCGAAUAAGCACCGGCUAACUACGUGCCAGCAGCCGCGGUAAUACGUAGGUGGCAAGCGUUGUCCGGAAUUAUUGGGCGUAAAGGGAGCGUAGGCGGAUUUUUAAGUGGGAUGUUAAAAGUUCGGGGCUUAACCCCGUGAUGGGAUGGAAACUGCCAAUCUAGAGUAUCGGAGAGGAAAGUGGAAUUCCUAGUGUAGCGGUGAAAUGCGUAGAUAUUAGGAAGAACACCAGUGGCGAAGGCGACUUUCUGGACUGUAACUGACGCUGAGGCGCGAAAGCGUGGGGAGCGAACAGGAUUAGAUACCCUGGUAGUCCACGCCGUAAACGGUGGAUGCUGGAUGUGGGGCCCGUUCCACGGGUUCCGUGUCGGAGCUAACGCGUUAAGCAUCCCGCCUGGGGAGUACGGCCGCAAGGCUAAAACUCAAAGAAAUUGACGGGGGCCCGCACAAGCGGUGGAGCAUGUGGUUUAAUUCGAUGCAACGCGAAGAACCUUACCUGGGCUUGACAUGUUCCCGACGAUCCCAGAGAUGGGGUUUCCCUUCGGGGCGGGUUCACAGGUGGUGCAUGGUCGUCGUCAGCUCGUGUCGGGGGAUGUAGGGUUAAGUCCCGCAACGAGCGCAACCCUCGCCCUGUGUUGCCAGCACGUCAUGGUGGGAACUCACGGGGGACCGCCGGGGUCAACUCGGAGGAAGGUGGGGAUGACGUCAGAUCAUCAUGCCCCUUACGUCCAGGGCUUCACGCAUGCUACAAUGGCCGGUACAACGGGAUGCGACAUGGCGACAUGGAGCGGAUCCCUGAAAACCGGUCUCAGUUCGGAUUGGAGUCUGCAACCCGACUCCAUGAAGGCGGAGUCGCUAGUAAUCGCGGAUCAGCAACGCCGCGGUGAAUGCGUUCCCGGGCCUUGCACACACCGCCCGUCA
This 1376-nucleotide ribosomal RNA is filed under the name human gut metagenome. RNAcentral's name for it is "bacterial SSU rRNA". It matches the Rfam family "Bacterial small subunit ribosomal RNA". The record is from RNAcentral.